GGCAUCGCCGCGGAGCCUCGGUUGGCCUCGGAUAGCCGGUCCCCCGCCUGUCCCCGCCGGCGGGCCGCCCCGCCGUGCGCCGGGACCGGGGUCCGGGGCGGAGUGCCCUUCCUCCUGGGAAACGGGGUGCGGCCGGAAAGGCGGCCGCCCCCUCGCCCGUCACGCAACGCACGUUCGUGGGGAACCUGGCGCUAAACCAUUCUCAGCCCUC
RNAcentral lists this long non-coding RNA (211 nucleotides) under Homo sapiens (human). Its description in RNAcentral is "non-protein coding lnc-GCNT1-4:1". Lineage: Eukaryota; Metazoa; Chordata; Mammalia; Primates; Hominidae. The record is from RNAcentral.